ACGGGGAACGUCAGGCAGGUGGGGAAAUUAUUCCCCAAUGGGGGUAGGCUGUAUGCAGGGACGCCGGUGAGGAUGACGGUCUUUCGGUUGUAACUUCUUUUAGCACGGAGGAGCUGAAAUGGACGGUACGUGCAGAGAAGCGCCGGGUAAUUACGUGCCAGCAGCCGCGGUAAUUCGUAGGGCGGGGACGGUGUCGGGAUAUUGGGCGUAAGAGCUCGUAGGCGGUUUGUCGCGUCUGCUGUGAAAGCCCGGGGCUUAACCCCGGGUGUGCAGUGGGUACGGGCAGACUUGAGUGCAGUAGGGGAGACUGGAAUUCCUGGUGUAGCGGUGAAAUGCGCAGAUAUCAGGAGGAACACCGAUGGCGAAGGCAGGUCUCUGGGCUGUUACUGACGCUGAGGAGCGAAAGCAUGGGGAGCGAACAGGAUUAGAUACCCUGGUAGUCCAUGCCGUAAACGUUGGGCACUAGGUGUGGGGAACAUUCCACGUUUUCCGCGCCGUAGCUAACGCAUUAAGUGCCCCGCCUGGGGAGUACGGCCGCAAGGCUAAAACUCAAAGGAAUUGACGGGGGCCCGCACAAGCGGCGGAGCAUGCGGAUUAAUUCGAUGCAACGCGAAGAACCUUACCAAGGCUUGACAUACACCGGACCGGGCCAGAGAUGGUCUUUCCCCCUUGUGGGGCUGGUGUACAGGUGGUGCAUGGUUGUCGUCAGCUCGUGUCGUGAGAUGUUGGGUUAAGUCCCGCAACGAGCGCAACCCUCGUUCUAUGUUGCCAGCACGUGAUGGUGGGGACUCAUAGGAGACUGCCGGGGUCAACUCGGAGGAAGGUGGGGAUGACGUCAAAUCAUCAUGCCCCUUAUGUCUUGGGCUUCACGCAUGCUACAAUGGCCAGUACAAUGGGUUGCGAUGCCGCGAGGUGGAGCUAAUCCCAAAAAGCUGGUCUCAGUUCGGAUCGUGGUCUGCAACUCGACCACGUGAAGUCGGAGUCGCUAGUAAUCGCAGAUCAGCAACGCUGCGG
This 1014-nucleotide ribosomal RNA is filed under the name Kocuria sp. RNAcentral's name for it is "bacterial SSU rRNA". It matches the Rfam family "Bacterial small subunit ribosomal RNA", at positions 335 to 1362 of the family's 1533-position model. Lineage: Bacteria; Bacillati; Actinomycetota; Actinomycetes; Micrococcales; Micrococcaceae. The record is from RNAcentral.